CCAUAACAAUAACGCCUGGUGAUACGGCGGCAACGCUAUAAAUCAAAGCAAUUGGCAGCGAUAGAGAUGCGCGGUGGAAUAUGCUGUUUAAAUCGAAGAUACACGCAGAAUCUUACCACUUUUUAAUA
RNAcentral lists this ribosomal RNA (128 nucleotides) under Edaphochlamys debaryana. RNAcentral's name for it is "small subunit ribosomal RNA". It matches the Rfam family "Bacterial small subunit ribosomal RNA", at positions 858 to 986 of the family's 1533-position model. The record is from RNAcentral. Lineage: Eukaryota; Viridiplantae; Chlorophyta; Chlorophyceae; Chlamydomonadales.